AGAGUUUGAUUAUGGCUCAGAUUGAACGCUGGCGGCAGGCUUAACACAUGCAAGUCGAACGAUGACUCUCUAGCUUGCUAGAGAUGAUUAGUGGCGGACGGGUGAGUAACAUUUAGGAAUCUGCCUAGUAGUGGGGGAUAGCUCGGGGAAACUCGAAUUAAUACCGCAUACGACCUACGGGUGAAAGGGGGCGCAAGCUCUUGCUAUUAGAUGAGCCUAAAUCAGAUUAGCUAGUUGGUGGGGUAAAGGCCCACCAAGGCGACGAUCUGUAACUGGUCUGAGAGGAUGAUCAGUCACACCGGAACUGAGACACGGUCCGGACUCCUACGGGAGGCAGCAGUGGGGAAUAUUGGACAAUGGGGGCAACCCUGAUCCAGCCAUGCCGCGUGUGUGAAGAAGGCCUUUUGGUUGUAAAGCACUUUAAGCAGGGAGGAGAGGCUAAUGGUUAAUACCCAUUAGAUUAGACGUUACCUGCAGAAUAAGCACCGGCUAACUCUGUGCCAGCAUCCGCGGUAAUACAGAGGGUGCGAGCGUUAAUCGGAAUUACUGGGCGUAAAGCGAGUGUAGGUGGCUCAUUAAGUCACAUGUGAAAUCCCCNGGCUUANCCUGGGAACUGCAUGUGAUACUGGUGGUGCUAGA
This 639-nucleotide ribosomal RNA is filed under the name uncultured Moraxella sp. RNAcentral describes it as "bacterial SSU rRNA". It matches the Rfam family "Bacterial small subunit ribosomal RNA", at positions 8 to 645 of the family's 1533-position model. Lineage: Bacteria; Pseudomonadati; Pseudomonadota; Gammaproteobacteria; Moraxellales; Moraxellaceae. The record is from RNAcentral.